Long non-coding RNA from Glycine soja, 628 nucleotides. RefSeq lists it as uncharacterized. Lineage: Eukaryota; Viridiplantae; Streptophyta; Magnoliopsida; Fabales; Fabaceae. The transcript is spliced from 4 exons. The record is from RefSeq and is a predicted model, not a curated record.
UUUCCAUCUCUCUCUCUCUCGUGCUUUCUAGAGAAGUCUCUGUUUUUCUUCGUUGCUUUGCCUCUCUUCUUCUUCAACUAAGUCCUAAUGUAAGAUGCGUGUGGUUCUUGAGAUUUGAGGUGAUAGAUUUGAUAGCUAGCACUGCAAAGUUGGGUUCUCUUUCAUUCAUGGGAACGACCCAUUUGUUGUUUUUCAUUUGGGGUGAGAUAAAGUGGAAUUUUGCAAUUUGGAUUAAUGGGUUCUGACAUUUGCAUUGUGAAUGGUUUGGGCACUCAUGAAUGGAGAAAGGGGUGGCCUCUGCGAUCUGGUGGAUUCGCUCAACUGUUGUAAGUGCGGGAAAACGUUCCACUUGAGGAAGUUUUUUAGACUCUGAGGUGUGAUUCAAAUGGACUCACAACAGAAUCUACUGAGGAGAGGCUGGUCAUCUUUGGCCACAACAAACUUGAGGAGAAGAAGAAAAGAGAGGGGAGGAAGAGGAAGAGAAAGAGGUUCUCCAAUCAAGCUUAAAGCCGUUGAAAGCAAAAACUACCAAGGUUGAGAGACGGGCCUUGCAGGAGGCACAGAGAGCUGCUAAAGCUGCUUCUUGUAGACAAAGGAUCAAGCUGAAAGUUUUGAUGAUGCCAAAGGA